Mastomys coucha (southern multimammate mouse) is the source of this 1298-nucleotide long non-coding RNA. RefSeq lists it as uncharacterized. NCBI's taxonomy places the organism in Eukaryota, Metazoa, Chordata, Mammalia, Rodentia, Muridae. The transcript is spliced from 3 exons. The record is from RefSeq and is a predicted model, not a curated record.
UUGGGAAAGGCCGAACUCGAACCCUCCCGCCAGUUGGCGCCCGGGUCCCGCUGGGAUUGCGCCCGGGGUCCUUACCGUGCUCUCAGCCCCUCGUAGCACUGAGAAAAUCCAAGGCUACACUGGAGCGCGCGGUCUCCAAAGACUACACUUCCCCCCAGGCCCCCCAGGAAGUAGCCUCCCCCAGAAAAACAGCAGAGACUUGAGUCCCAAACCCUGCUGAGAUCCAGGGUCGAGUCUAAACUCUUCAGCUACCAGGGCGUGGCGCUUGGUGAGAAUUUUCCAGCCAGUGCUGGCGUGUGGCUAAGCCCAGACCGCUCCGAGUGGCUGGUGAGAGGGAUCACCAGGGGAGGACCUUCAGGUUGUGAAGCCAUCAAAGACAUGAUGAGGUUUCCACGUGGUCCCACUCGCGUCUCAGGAAGCCAAGAAUGCUAGAUGCGAGAGGCGCUGGGUGCGGAGUCCGCUCCGCGACUUCAGGGGUUGGGCUUAGCAAGACAUUUGAACGCUGAACCCCCGUGAUGCUGCUGGACUGGGCACCAGCCACACCCAAGCGCGGAUCACGCGGGACCCGGGACGCUCCCCCCGCCCCCAACCCAGCGCCUCCGCAGGUUCCCCAGAGCGCUACGUGCCAAGAAGGUUGUCAGAUGGAGUUAGUCAAAGGGAUGCCAUUGACUUUCGAGCGCUGGGGAUUGACUUUCAGCCAGCUCGACCACGACCACGAAGUGCGUACUUGCAGCCACAGAAAGAAGUAAGUGAGAGUUGUUUUGGAUGCGCGCAGAGCCACGUGUCAUCCACAAGAAGGAAUUCUGAGUCCGUGGCUCUGGAAAUGUUAAGACUGGCAGUCUGCAGACCGAUCUGUUUUUAUGUUUGUCACAACGUUCUUUAAAAAACAAAAAAACAAAACAAAAAACCCACUUGGAUCAUAAACUGUAAACCUCUGUCACUCUGGACAAGAAAGGAAGAGAAACUGUAUACUUUUCUUGACUCUGAGGGUUUUUUUUUUUUUCACGAUUGUAUUUAUAAUUCAGAAAGCCAAUAAAAGAAGCAAAUUAGAAGUUAGGUCUGUGUAUUUGAUUAACUGCAGAGUCCCGUAUUGAUAUUUAAACGUUGUGAAGAGACAAAGCUGGAUUCUUGAUGGGCAUGUUGUUAUUGUAUUUCCCCUUAAAUGGCUCUCGGUAGCCACAGACAUGCUUUCAAGGAUUGCUAGGCAAGAAGUUUUGAGUGAAGUCAGCUGGCAAGCAACAGGGAAAUAAAGCUUGAAUCUUUCAAAGCUGCCAAAAGCUGCCCAGGCCCCGUAGUUU